Cyprinus carpio (common carp) is the source of this 1430-nucleotide long non-coding RNA. RefSeq lists it as uncharacterized. The transcript is spliced from 4 exons. Lineage: Eukaryota; Metazoa; Chordata; Actinopteri; Cypriniformes; Cyprinidae. The record is from RefSeq and is a predicted model, not a curated record.
AUAACCCUGCCUUAAUACCUAAUGUUUUUAAUUUAUCCAAUGACAUUGUAUUAUUAAUUACUUAAUUGUCAUAUUAACUCAUUUAAAUUGUCACACGUCACAAUUACCAAAGCUAAAAAUGGUCACAUUAAACAUUAGCCUGUGCGUUCAGUAAGCCUCCAUUUAACAAACUAACAGCUAAGCAUGCUCAAGAAAAUAAAACAAGAAAUCAUGGCAACAUGAAUGGUUUUGAUCAGGCAUUGAAGAUCCAACAUCUGGACCUUAAAAGCAUUUUAGGACCAAUCUACACUGGUGGUCAUUUACAAUGAGCUAAAUAUCUAUUCGGACAAAGUAAUUAUUUAUAGUUUUCCCAGCCCAAUUCUUUUUCAAGGGCUUCUUUAAAAGUUAAAACUCAUAAUACUCAAAGCACAGCUACAUUAAGUUAAAACUGCUUUAAAGUAAAGGAAAGUAAUGAACAAAAGAAAGACAAUGUAGAUAAAUGAGCCUGGAGUUUUAAUGAAUACCUUUGUUGUUCUUUUGAAAUUUAAAGUAGGCCCCAUCCCUCGUUCCUCAACUUGAUGAAGAAAACAGCCUGCCACGCUCAGAGCAGAGGCGGAGCAAUCCGUCUUCAUCGUACCACAGAGGAACGGAUUCCUCUACGGGGGAAAGUAACUGCUAAUUGCAGUUAAACUUUUUCACUAAAGUACCGUCUUGGCGAACAAUCAGUCGUUCUGCCACAGACAAUGGAGACAAAUCAACAAAUCAAGGAAAACUCAACCUACAUAAAACAAUUAACCAUUCAAACAUCAGCCCUGUGCACAGAGGGGAUUGUCUUCUGUGAUGAAUGCUCGACUUGAGAAAUUCGCAUCCAUAUUGCAGCUAAUUCUUACCAAGAACCGCCCACUUAAACAGGAAGUGACUGCCUGAUUGACCAUUUUUAAAGUGACCAUCCACAGUUCUCUGACAAUAUUCAGACAAUAUUGUGCAUACAGAGGAAUCAUCUGAUGUAGAGGUCGCCAGGCCCAUAGCGACGACUGUUGGGGAUUACCAGAAAGCUGCCAGAGCCGCUGUUUACAUUUGUGAGAUGCCCUCAGGUUUCUGUUUACAUCAGAAGCUAUGAAUCCCUGUAGUUAUGUGUCUUUUUCUUUUUGCUCGCUGGCUGAUAUAGAGGUAUUUAGCAACAUGAAGUUAAAUUAAAGCUAAGAGCAGCAGAGAAAGGAGGGGAUACGUCUCUCCUGUCCCACCUUAUGGUGAGUGACACUUCAUAUUAGCACAUAAUGAGGAGUGUGAUCAUCGGAUGAUGGGGACAAAAAAAGGAUUUAAGGCUUUAAUGACUUUAGGGAAUGGAUAAAGCUAUGCUCAGUUUAAGAGGGGAAAGAUACUAUUUAUAAUUACAAAAAAUGAAGGAAACUAGCAUAAAUAAACAUACAAAAAUGUAGUUAACAUGCUGU